Molecule: ribosomal RNA, 964 nt
Filed under: Eunice gracilicirrata
Lineage: Eukaryota; Metazoa; Annelida; Polychaeta; Eunicida; Eunicidae
Description: partial 16S ribosomal RNA
Rfam family: Bacterial large subunit ribosomal RNA
Source: RNAcentral
CUUUGCAAGAUUAAAAAUAAAUUUUUGCCCCGAAAAUGCACGAGCUGGGGCUAGUUUGCUCAGAGCCCAUUGAAUGGUGUUGCAAUAUCAUCAAAAAAACAUGCCCCAGAGGCUACAUACCACCCGCGUGCAUUCAUAGCUGGUUUAUCACACACCCAGUAUAAGCUGAAAAGGCUAUAUCUAAAACAACCCAAAUCCAUAGCCAUUUAAAGGAACUGAGGACAAGCCCAGUCCCUCACCUUAUUUAUAAAAAAAACAAACAAAAAGUAGGCCCAAAACCAGCCACCUUAAAUAUCUCGUUAUAGUAAACCAUCAAUAAAAAUAUAAUUCCUAAAUACUUAAUAAGUGAUAUAUUUGUCCUAACUCAAAGACCAAACAAUCAUGCAAAGAUCAGUAUCCCCCAUAUACAGAGAAGGAACUCGGCAAAUACAUGCCCCGACUGUUUAACAAAAACAUAGCCUAUUGAAUAAAUAAUAUAAUAGGUAAUGCCUGCCCAGUGAACUCUUAAACGGCCGCGGUAGCCUGACCGUGCAAAGGUAGCAUAAUAAGUUGCCUCUUAAUUAGAGGCUGGUAUGAAUGGAUCCACGAGAGCUAAGCUGUCUCCUCUGUACUCAAAGAAAUUUACCCUCAGGUGAAGAGGCCUGAAUAAAUGUAAAGGACAAGAAGACCCUGUCGAGCUUCAACUUCAAUAGGCCCCUAAUAACCCAAAUAUUAACACCUAAGAAAAGUUUUUGUUGGGGCAACAAAGGAAUAAACAAAUCUUCCUUAAAUAAAAAAGAACUCAAUUCCCCCAAAUGAGCCAGUUUCUGAAUAAUGAAAAUAGCUACCGCAGGGAUAACAGACUAAUCUUCCCCAAGAGCCCAAAUCGACGGGAAGGCUUGGCACCUCGAUGUUGGCUUAAGAACUCUUUUAGAUGUAGAAGUCUAAAAAGAAGGUUUGUUCAACCUUUAAAUUCUUACAUGAG